ACAAGAUACAAAUUCUACUGCACACUUUGUGGGUUAAGUACGCUAGCGCGUUUCUCUGCAUACUUUCUCUCCACUUUCUUUUCAGUUUCAGAACAUGAUUUCCCUCGUUCUUUUCGAUUUUUGCUCGAAAAUUUUCCUCCCAAAAUAUUCUCCAUAAAGAUCGUGGAUGUUUAUCACGAUCUCAAUUACAGUUUCUCUUCUGAUAAAAAUCCAUAAAUUCAGUUUCCAUAGCAAAAUUAGCCCUAGGUUUUGGAAAAACGAAUCAAAAAAAUUGGAGAAAUCAACUCCUUUGGUUACUGUGGAUAUCUGAUGAUGGCGUUCCAGAACUAGGAGGCACUAAUAAAGAUGAGACAUGCUUUGCUGAUGAAAAUUGUGAAAAAUCAUCAACAGUCUGAAGUGGUACAAUAAGCAAAAGGGAGUUUGGGGAUUGUUAAUUUUGAAAACUACUGUUGCUGGUGCUUCCUGUGAAUGUGAAUCUGAAUGUUCUCUACCGUGUUCUCAGGUGUGUGUACCAAAUUAAAUUGCAAACAAGAGAAAUGUUGCGUGUUUUGCCUUCAUUGGUUGAUGUGUCAAUAGCUGAGGGAAAGCAUUUCACUGUUUGUGGUGAUGUGCAUGGUCAGGAAUUCAUCUGGCUAGAGGUAACCAUGAGAGCAAGAACAUGAACAAGAUUUAUGGUUUUGAAGGUGAGGUAAAAUCAAAGUUGAGUGAGGAUUUUAUUGAACUCUUUGCCGAAGUGUUCUGUUGUCUACCCUUAGCACAUGUCUUGAAUGGGAAGGUUUUCAUAGUUCAUGGAGGGCUUUUUUGUGUUUAUGGGGUGAAACUUUCCGACAUUAGGAAAAUUGAUCGGUUCUGUGAACCUCCAGAAGAAGAUUCGUAAACUGGCCGUAAAUUCUCUUCUCAGGAGCAACCAAAUCAAUGAGAUAUUUUUGGAGCACAUGAAUAAACUGGCUUUCAUGAGGCUAGUGCAUGUGCAUCUGGGUUUCAUAUGCAGCUAUCAAUCCAUCAUUGCAAUACUUUACGAGGGAUUAACUAGACACCUGAAAGCAAAGGUUUCUUGGAGAGAUUCCCAGAAUAUCCUGCUCAGGUUCACUUACAUUUGCUUACAGUCACUAUUAAAUUGUUUAUGAAGAAUCCAACAAAAGGCCCACAAAGAAUGAUUUAGGUAGUCCUGAAUAAUACUACUGUUGAGACGGACAAUCCAAUUCUGCGUGAUCGGACCUAUAAUUAUUUGCAAGUCCAACACGGUAUUGCCAGGCUGUAAGUCCAUAGAAGUUAUCGUCUUCAGACAAUAAAUAUGGUGGAGAUGUCUUCAAGUCCAAAACGGUAUUUGCCAGGCUUUACAUGUUAGGGAGGACGUACAAGUUUAAGCUUCUCGCAAAAACCAUCAAAAAGGAUGGGCGACUAAAGGAUACAUUGACACUAAUAACAAAUUUAGUUUCGUCUUCUUGUAUUUGUAAAGAAAGAAAUGAUCCAAUCUUUAUCUGUUCGACUCUUUGCUUGUUUCAAAAGCAUAUAAGUAAUGAUAUUACGAGAAA
This is an RNA transcript of Papaver somniferum (opium poppy), 1535 nucleotides long. RefSeq lists it as uncharacterized. The record is from RefSeq and is a predicted model, not a curated record. The transcript is spliced from 8 exons. Lineage: Eukaryota; Viridiplantae; Streptophyta; Magnoliopsida; Ranunculales; Papaveraceae.